This 468-nucleotide ribosomal RNA is filed under the name uncultured bacterium. RNAcentral describes it as "partial 16S ribosomal RNA". It matches the Rfam family "Bacterial small subunit ribosomal RNA", at positions 28 to 507 of the family's 1533-position model. The record is from RNAcentral.
GACGAACGCUGGCGGCGUGCUUAACACAUGCAAGACGAACGGAAAGGCCCUGCUUUUGUGGGGUGCUCGAGUGGCGAACGGGUGAGUAACACGUGAGUAACCUGCCCUUGACUUUGGGAUAACUUCAGGAAGCUGGGGCUAAUACCGGAUAGGAGCUCCUGCUGCAUGGUGGGGGUUGGAAAGUUUCGGCGGUUGGGGAUGGACUCGCGGCUUAUCAGCUUGUUGGUGGGGUAGUGGCUUACCAAGGCUUUGACGGGUAGCCGGCCUGAGAGGGUGACCGGCCACAUUGGGACUGAGAUACGGCCCAGACUCCUACGGGAGGCAGCAGUGGGGAAUAUUGCACAAUGGGCGGAAGCCUGAUGCAGCAACGCCGCGUGCGGGAUGACGGCCUUCGGGUUGUAAACCGCUUUCGCCUGUGACGAAGCGUGAGUGACGGUAAUGGGUAAAGAAGCACCGGCUAACUACGUG